RNAcentral lists this ribosomal RNA (1183 nucleotides) under uncultured Enterococcus sp. Its description in RNAcentral is "bacterial SSU rRNA". It matches the Rfam family "Bacterial small subunit ribosomal RNA", at positions 316 to 1501 of the family's 1533-position model. Lineage: Bacteria; Bacillati; Bacillota; Bacilli; Lactobacillales; Enterococcaceae. The record is from RNAcentral.
UGAGAGAAACUCGGUGCUAGACUCCUACGGGAGGCCGCAGUAGGAUCUCGGCCAUGACGAGUUCGACCGAGGCAUCGUCGCGUGAGUGAGGAGUUUCGAUCGUAAACUCUGAUUGUUAGAGAAGCAUCAGGAUCGAGAGUAAAAUGUUCAUCCCUGACGGUAUUCUACAGAAAGCCACGGCUACUACGUGCCAGCAGCCGCGGUAAUACGUAGGUGGCAAGCGUUGUCCGGAUUUAUUGGGCGUAAAGCGAGCGCAGGCGGUUUCUUAAGUCUGAUGUGAAAGCCCCCGGCUCAACCCGGGGAGGGUCAUUGGAAACUGGGAGACUUGAGUGCAGAAGAGGAGAGUGGAAUUCCAUGUGUAGCGGUGAAAUGCGUAGAUAUAUGGAGGAACACCAGUGGCGAAGGCGGCUCUCUGGUCUGUAACUGACGCUGAGGCUCGAAAGCGUGGGAGCGAACAGGAUUAGAUACCCUGGUAGUCCACGCCGUAAACGAUGAGUGCUAAGUGUUGGAGGGUUUCCGCCCUUCAGUGCUGCAGCAAACGCAUUAAGCACUCCGCCUGGGGAGUACGACCGCAAGGUUGAAACUCAAAGGAAUUGACGGGGGCCCGCACAAGCGGUGGAGCAUGUGGUUUAAUUCGAAGCAACGCGAAGAACCUUACCAGGUCUUGACAUCCUUUGACCACUCUAGAGAUAGAGCUUCCCCUUCGGGGGCAAAGUGACAGGUGGUGCAUGGUUGUCGUCAGCUCGUGUCGUGAGAUGUUGGGUUAAGUCCCGCAACGAGCGCAACCCUUAUUGUUAGUUGCCAUCAUUUAGUUGGGCACUCUAGCGAGACUGCCGGUGACAAACCGGAGGAAGGUGGGGAUGACGUCAAAUCAUCAUGCCCCUUAUGACCUGGGCUACACACGUGCUACAAUGGGAAGUACAACGAGUUGCGAAGUCGCGAGGCUAAGCUAAUCUCUUAAAGCUUCUCUCAGUUCGGAUUGUAGGCUGCAACUCGCCUACAUGAAGCCGGAAUCGCUAGUAAUCGCGGAUCAGCACGCCGCGGUGAAUACGUUCCCGGGCCUUGUACACACCGCCCGUCACACCACGAGAGUUUGUAACACCCGAAGUCGGUGAGGUAACCUUUUGGAGCCAGCCGCCUAAGGUGGGAUAGAUGAUUGGGGUGAAGUCGUAACAAGGUAGCC